Molecule: ribosomal RNA, 465 nt
Filed under: uncultured bacterium
Lineage: Bacteria
Description: partial 16S ribosomal RNA
Rfam family: Bacterial small subunit ribosomal RNA
Source: RNAcentral
GAUGAACGCUGGCGGCGUGCUUAACACAUGCAAGUCGAACGGAAAGGCUCCUGCUUGCAGGGGUACUCGAGUGGCGAACGGGUGAGUAACACGUGGGUGAUCUGCCCUGCACUUCGGGAUAAGCCUGGGAAACUGGGUCUAAUACCGGAUAGGACGAUGGUUUGGAUGCCAUUGUGGAAAGUUUUUUCGGUGUGGGAUGAGCUCGCGGCCUAUCAGCUUGUUGGUGGGGUAAUGGCCUACCAAGGCGUCGACGGGUAGCCGGCCUGAGAGGGUGUACGGCCACAUUGGGACUGAGAUACGGCCCAGACACCUACGGGAGGCAGCAGUGGGUAAUAUUGCACAAUGGGCGCAAGCCUGAUGCAGCGACGCCGCGUGGGGGAUGACGGCCUUCGGGUUGUAAGCUCCUUUCGCUAGGGACGAAGCGCAAGUGACGGUACCUGGAGAAGAAGCACCGGCUAACUACGU